AUUGAACGCUGGCGGCAGGCCUAACACAUGCAAGUCGAACGAGUGGCGGACGGGUGAGUAAUGCUUGGGAAUCUGGCCGAUGGAGGGGGAUAACUACGGGAAACGGUAGCUAAUACCGCGUACCAUAGGAUGAGCCCAGAGGGGAUUAGGUAGUAGGUGAGGUAAAGGCUUACCAAGCCGACGAUCCCUAGCUGGUCUGAGAGGAUGACCAGCCACACUGGGACUGAUACACGGCCCAGACUCCUACGGGAGGCAGCAUUGGGGAUUAUUGCGCAAUGGGCGAAACCCUGACGCAGCCAUGCCGCGUGACUGAAGAAGGCCUUCGGGUUGUAAAGUACUUUCGGUGGCGAGGCGUUACCUACAGAAGAAGCACCGGCUAACUCCGUGCCAACAGCCGCGGUAAUUC
This 406-nucleotide ribosomal RNA is filed under the name uncultured bacterium. Its description in RNAcentral is "partial 16S ribosomal RNA". It matches the Rfam family "Bacterial small subunit ribosomal RNA", at positions 30 to 526 of the family's 1533-position model. The record is from RNAcentral.